UGGGGAAUUUUGGACAAUGGGCGAAAGCCUGAUCCAGCAAUGCCGCGUGUGUGAAGAAGGCCUUCGGGUUGUAAAGCACUUUUGUCCGGAAAGAAAUGGCUCUGGUUAAUACCUGGGGUCGAUGACAGUACCGGAAGAAUAAGGACCGGCUAACUACGUGCCAGCAGCCGCGGUAAUACGUAGGGUCCAAGCGUUAAUCGGAAUUACUGGGCGUAAAGCGUGCGCAGGCGGUUGUGCAAGACCGAUGUGAAAUCCCCGAGCUUAACUUGGGAAUUGCAUUGGUGACUGCACGGCUAGAGUGUGUCAGAGGGGGGUAGAAUUCCACGUGUAGCAGUGAAAUGCGUAGAGAUGUGGAGGAAUACCGAUGGCGAAGGCAGCCCCCUGGGAUAACACUGACGCUCAUGCACGAAAGCGUGGGGAGCAAACAGG
RNAcentral lists this ribosomal RNA (429 nucleotides) under Bacillota bacterium. Its description in RNAcentral is "Firmicutes bacterium partial 16S ribosomal RNA". It matches the Rfam family "Bacterial small subunit ribosomal RNA", at positions 355 to 776 of the family's 1533-position model. Lineage: Bacteria; Bacillati; Bacillota. The record is from RNAcentral.